Molecule: transfer RNA, 91 nt
Filed under: Guinardia striata
Lineage: Eukaryota; Bacillariophyta; Coscinodiscophyceae; Rhizosoleniales; Rhizosoleniaceae
Description: tRNA-Ser
Rfam family: tRNA
About the family: Transfer RNA (tRNA) molecules are approximately 80 nucleotides in length. Their secondary structure includes four short double-helical elements and three loops (D, anti-codon, and T loops).
Source: RNAcentral
GGAAAGGUGACUGAGUGGUUUAUAGUGUUGGUUUGCUAAACCUUUGUGUAUUUUCAAAAGUACACCAUGGGUUCGAAUCCCAUUCUUUCUU